UACGGAGGGUGCAAGCGUUAUCCGGAUUCACUGGGCUUAAAGGGUGCGUAGGAGGGCAGGUAAGUCAGUGGUGAAAUCUCCGAGCUUAACUUGGAAACUGCCGUUGAUACUACCUGUCUUGAAUAUUGUGGAGGUGAGCGGAAUAUGUCAUGUAGCGGUGAAAUGCUUAGAUAUGACAUAGAACACCAAUUGCGAAGGCAGCUCGCUACACAUAUAUUGACUCUGAGGCACGAAAGCGUGGGGAUCAAACAGG
RNAcentral lists this ribosomal RNA (253 nucleotides) under uncultured bacterium. Its description in RNAcentral is "partial 16S ribosomal RNA". It matches the Rfam family "Bacterial small subunit ribosomal RNA", at positions 524 to 776 of the family's 1533-position model. The record is from RNAcentral.